Molecule: long non-coding RNA, 787 nt
Filed under: Sinocyclocheilus grahami
Lineage: Eukaryota; Metazoa; Chordata; Actinopteri; Cypriniformes; Cyprinidae
Description: lncRNA (ENSSGRG00000000169.1)
Source: RNAcentral
GCGCGUGUGUGUGUGUGUGUGUGUGAGAGUGAGUGUGUGAGUGUGAGUGUGACCUACACAUGCUCCAGUGCUCUCACACCGCCGUCCUCUCCUCCUCGGGUCUCCUGCUCACCUUCAUGCAGGUGAGUGAUGGACGAAAGCACCUUUGAGACAUUUGAGGAAGAGCUUGGUAAACCACUACAAGAGGUUCCUCCUCAGAAACCUGUCAGACAAACACGAACAGGAGGCAGAACAGAGAUGUAUGCUCAGAGGAGGGUGCGAGAGGAAGCUCCAAUCGUCCAGCAGGUCCCGAAGAUGACUCCACGGGAACAUCCGGUCUCCAGCGCCACAGCGUCGUUACGCAAAGCGCUCUCCAUCCAGAAUCUGACGCAGAUCGAGACGCCGUGGGAAGGUGUGACGCUGAACAGGUGUCUGAUCGCAGCCAUAACCAUCCUUCUGCUGAGCUCUGUUUUACAGAGAAUACACGAAGCCGUCAGAGGCCGCAAAGACGUCAGUGAAGAGCUCUUAGCACUAAACGAGAGACAAACUCUGAUUAAAAGAGGGAAAAUAACACCGCAUGAGGUGAGAACAAAAACAAACACAAGAUCUAUGAAGGUAAAGAUAUCGCUUUUGCAAGUAAAAGCAUUGUUUUUCUAUAUAAAGACACGCAAGACGGACGUUUUUGACCGUUGCGCUCGCACAUGAAAAUGUGCCGCUCAAGUUUAAACUGCUUCUGAUUGGCCAACCGGAUAACCGGCGCUACUUUCAUGCGUCUCGUAUCACUCCGCGAGCUCCCGCUUUUUUUCUU